AGAGUUUGAUCAUGGCUCAGGACAAACGCUGGCGGCGUGCCUAACACAUGCAAGUCGAACGGAGUUGCGGUUUCGGCCGUAACUGAGUGGCGGACGGGUGAGUAACACGUGGAUGACGUACCCUGGUGUGGGGGAUACCCUCCAGAAAUGGAGGCUAAUACCGCAUACGGUCCAUCAGAUCAAGCUGGUGGAAGAAAGCC
RNAcentral lists this ribosomal RNA (200 nucleotides) under uncultured bacterium. Its description in RNAcentral is "partial 16S ribosomal RNA". It matches the Rfam family "Bacterial small subunit ribosomal RNA", at positions 8 to 208 of the family's 1533-position model. The record is from RNAcentral.